This 497-nucleotide ribosomal RNA is filed under the name uncultured bacterium. RNAcentral describes it as "partial 16S ribosomal RNA". It matches the Rfam family "Bacterial small subunit ribosomal RNA", at positions 28 to 507 of the family's 1533-position model. The record is from RNAcentral.
GAUGAACGCUGGCGGCGUGCCUAAUACAUGCAAGUCGAGCGAACAGAUGGGGAGCUUGCUCCGCUGACGAUGGGGGCGGGGGAGGGGGGCACGCGUGUAUACCGUCCUUAUAAGGCUGAGAAAACUUCGAGAAAGCGGAGAUAAUACGGGAUAAUCUAUUGCACCACGUGGUUCGCUAGUGAAUGUAGGUUUUGCUGUCAGUUAUAGCGGGCUCCGCGCCGCAUUGGCUAGUGGGUAAGGUAACGGCUUACGAGGGCAAGGAUGCGUGGCCGAUCUGAGAGGGCGAUCGGCCACACUAGAACUGAGACACGGUCCAGACGCCUACGGGAGGCAGCAGUCGGCAAUCGCCCGCAAUGGGCGAAAGCUUGACGUAGCAACGCCGCGAGAGUGACGAAGGUCCUCGGAGCGUAAAGCUGGGUUACUAGGGAAGAACAAAUUUGUAAGUAAAGAGGCACGCUGUGACGGUACCUAAUAAGAAAGCAACGGCUAACUACGUG